GCUCAGGACGAACGCUGGCGGCGUGCCUAAUACAUGCAAGUCGAGCGGACAGAUGGGAGCUUGCUCCCUGAUGUUAGCGGCGGACGGGUGAGUAACACGUGGGUAACCUGCCUGUAAGACUGGGAUAACUCCGGGAAACCGGGGCUAAUACCGGAUGCUUGUUUGAACCGCAUGGUUCAAACAUAAAAGGUGGCUUCGGCUACCACUUACAGAUGGACCCGCGGCGCAUUAGCUAGUUGGUGAGGUAAUGGCUCACCAAGGCGACGAUGCGUAGCCGACCUGAGAGGGUGAUCGGCCACACUGGGACUGAGACACGGCCCAGACUCCUACGGGAGGCAGCAGUAGGGAAUCUUCCGCAAUGGACGAAAGUCUGACGGAGCAACGCCGCGUGAGUGAUGAAGGUUUUCGGAUCGUAAAGCUCUGUUGUUAGGGAAGAACAAGUACCGUUCGAAUAGGGCGGUACCUUGACGGUACCUAACCAGAAAGCCACGGCUAACUACGUGCCAGCAGCCGCGGUAAUACGUAGGUGGCAAGCGUUGUCCGGAAUUAUUGGGCGUAAAGGGCUCGCAGGCGGUUUCUUAAGUCUGAUGUGAAAGCCCCCGGCUCAACCGGGGAGGGUCAUUGGAAACUGGGGAACUUGAGUGCAGAAGAGGAGAGUGGAAUUCCACGUGUAGCGGUGAAAUGCGUAGAGAUGUGGAGGAACACCAGUGGCGAAGGCGACUCUCUGGUCUGUAACUGACGCUGAGGAGCGAAAGCGUGGGGAGCGAACAGGAUUAGAUACCCUGGUAGUCCACGCCGUAAACGAUGAGUGCUAAGUGUUAGGGGGUUUCCGCCCCUUAGUGCUGCAGCUAACGCAUUAAGCACUCCGCCUGGGGAGUACGGUCGCAAGACUGAAACUCAAAGGAAUUGACGGGGGCCCGCACAAGCGGUGGAGCAUGUGGUUUAAUUCGAAGCAACGCGAAGAACCUUACCAGGUCUUGACAUCCUCUGACAAUCCUAGAGAUAGGACGUCCCCUUCGGGGGCAGAGUGACAGGUGGUGCAUGGUUGUCGUCAGCUCGUGUCGUGAGAUGUUGGGUUAAGUCCCGCAACGAGCGCAACCCUUGAUCUUAGUUGCCAGCAUUCAGUUGGGCACUCUAAGGUGACUGCCGGUGACAAACCGGAGGAAGGUGGGGAUGACGUCAAAUCAUCAUGCCCCUUAUGACCUGGGCUACACACGUGCUACAAUGGACAGAACAAAGGGCAGCGAAACCGCGAGGUUAAGCCAAUCCCACAAAUCUGUUCUCAGUUCGGAUCGCAGUCUGCAACUCGACUGCGUGAAGCUGGAAUCGCUAGUAAUCGCGGAUCAGCAUGCCGCGGGU
This 1359-nucleotide ribosomal RNA is filed under the name Bacillus stercoris. Its description in RNAcentral is "bacterial SSU rRNA". It matches the Rfam family "Bacterial small subunit ribosomal RNA", at positions 22 to 1364 of the family's 1533-position model. The record is from RNAcentral. Lineage: Bacteria; Bacillati; Bacillota; Bacilli; Caryophanales; Bacillaceae.